GUGGAGGAAGGAACAAGCGAAUGCAGUUUAUGCCGUCCCUAUAGCUAGCAUAACGCUUCUGGCGACGUCAAAUUAUGAUAACGGACAAACUUGCAAGACAUUUUCAUUAAUCCGUAUUUUUUAUAGAUAACCCUGUAAUGUUAAUGCUAUUUGGUGUACCAACUUCAACUUUAAAAGUACUUUUUAUUGGUAUGGUUAUCAAA
Molecule: long non-coding RNA, 203 nt
Filed under: Mytilus galloprovincialis (Mediterranean mussel)
Lineage: Eukaryota; Metazoa; Mollusca; Bivalvia; Mytilida; Mytilidae
Source: RNAcentral